CCCAAACACCUGAAAUAGAGACUGAAACUGAAGUGCAGAAGCAAAAAAAAAGGCAUCUAUGCCAAAAAAAUGUGAGCAACUAGGAGCUUCCAAAAAACACACAGCAAAACAGGUGUACAUUGCUAAGUAUAUUUCCCAAAACAGGGGAGAACUACUGGAAAUUGGCCAAAUCAGGUGGGCCAUACUAUGCAACAGCAAACACGUGUAAUAGGUCUGCACAUUCUGACUGCAUUGUAUUAACUCUGACAUUGAGGUCAGUGUGCACAAGAAAGAAUGUAAGCCCCUAGGAGCUUCCUAAACACACACACACACACACACACACAUAGCAAAACAGGUGCACAUUACUAAGGAUAUUUCCCAAAACAGAGGAAAACUACUGGGAAUGGGUCAUAUCAGGUGGGUCAUACAACCCUAUGAGGCAGCAAACAAGUUUAAUGGGUCUGCACAUUCUGACUGCAUUC
RNAcentral lists this long non-coding RNA (461 nucleotides) under Trifolium pratense (red clover). Its description in RNAcentral is "long non-coding RNA (TPRA_LNC000347)". The record is from RNAcentral. Lineage: Eukaryota; Viridiplantae; Streptophyta; Magnoliopsida; Fabales; Fabaceae.